AUGGAGCUCCUCCCGCCGCUGCCUCAGUCCUUCCUGUUGCUGCUGCUGUUGCCUGCCAAGCCCGCGGCGGGCGAGGACUGGCAGUGCCCGCGCACCCCCUACGCGGCCUCUCGCGACUUUGACGUGAAGUACGUGGUGCCCAGCUUCUCCGCCGGAGGCCUGGUACAGGCCAUGGUGACCUACGAGGGCGACAGAAAUGAGAGUGCUGUGUUUGUAGCCAUACGCAAUCGCCUGCAUGUGCUUGGGCCUGACCUGAAGUCUGUCCAGAGCCUGGCCACGGGCCCUGCUGGAGACCCUGGCUGCCAGACGUGUGCAGCCUGUGGCCCAGGACCCCACGGCCCUCCCGGUGACACAGACACAAAGGUGCUGGUGCUGGAUCCCGCGCUGCCUGCGCUGGUCAGUUGUGGCUCCAGCCUGCAGGGCCGCUGCUUCCUGCAUGACCUAGAGCCCCAAGGGACAGCCGUGCAUCUGGCAGCGCCAGCCUGCCUCUUCUCAGCCCACCAUAACCGGCCCGAUGACUGCCCCGACUGUGUGGCCAGCCCAUUGGGCACCCGUGUAACUGUGGUUGAGCAAGGCCAGGCCUCCUAUUUCUACGUGGCAUCCUCACUGGACGCAGCCGUGGCUGCCAGCUUCAGCCCACGCUCAGUGUCUAUCAGGCGUCUCAAGGCCGACGCCUCCGGAUUCGCACCGGGCUUUGUGGCGUUGUCAGUGCUGCCCAAGCAUCUUGUCUCCUACAGUAUUGAAUAUGUGCACAGCUUCCACACGGGAGCCUUCGUAUACUUCCUGACUGUACAGCCGGCCAGCGUGACAGAUGAUCCUAGUGCCCUGCACACACGCCUGGCACGGCUUAGCGCCACUGAGCCAGAGUUGGGUGACUAUCGGGAGCUGGUCCUCGACUGCAGAUUUGCUCCAAAACGCAGGCGCCGGGGGGCCCCAGAAGGCGGACAGCCCUACCCUGUGCUGCGGGUGGCCCACUCCGCUCCAGUGGGUGCCCAACUUGCCACUGAGCUGAGCAUCGCCGAGGGCCAGGAAGUACUAUUUGGGGUCUUUGUGACUGGCAAGGAUGGUGGUCCUGGCGUGGGCCCCAACUCUGUCGUCUGUGCCUUCCCCAUUGACCUGCUGGACACACUAAUUGAUGAGGGUGUGGAGCGCUGUUGUGAAUCCCCAGUCCAUCCAGGCCUCCGGCGAGGCCUCGACUUCUUCCAGUCGCCCAGUUUUUGCCCCAACCCGCCUGGCCUGGAAGCCCUCAGCCCCAACACCAGCUGCCGCCACUUCCCUCUGCUGGUCAGUAGCAGCUUCUCACGUGUGGACCUAUUCAAUGGGCUGUUGGGACCAGUACAGGUCACUGCAUUGUAUGUGACACGCCUUGACAACGUCACAGUGGCGCACAUGGGCACAAUGGAUGGGCGUAUCCUGCAGGUGGGUCCUCAUCCCCACAGUCCCCUAGCCCUGGGUCCUUGUCUCCAUCCCCAUUUUGCUCACAUCUGACCUGUCCUAGGUGGAGCUGGUCAGGUCACUAAACUACUUGCUGUAUGUGUCCAACUUCUCACUGGGUGACAGUGGGCAGCCCGUGCAGCGGGAUGUCAGUCGUCUUGGGGACCACCUACUCUUCGCCUCUGGGGACCAGGUUUUCCAGGUACCAAUCCGAGGCCCUGGCUGCCGCCACUUCCUGACCUGUGGGCGUUGCCUAAGGGCAUGGCAUUUCAUGGGCUGUGGCUGGUGUGGGAACAUGUGCAGCCAGCAGAAGGAGUGUCCUGGCUCCUGGCAACAGGACCACUGCCCACCUAAGCUUACUGAGUUCCACCCCCACAGUGGACCUCUAAGGGGCAGUACAAGGCUGACCCUGUGUGGCUCCAACUUCUACCUUCACCCUUCUGGUCUGGUACCUGAGGGAACCCAUCAGGUCACUGUGGGCCAAAGUCCCUGCCGGCCACUGCCCAAGGACAGCUCAAAACUCAGGUACAAUCUGGUCCCUCCCCUCCCUUUCCCUGAAGGGGACAACCAAGCAGCCCCUUCCCCAUGA
Molecule: small RNA, 2023 nt
Filed under: Pan troglodytes (chimpanzee)
Lineage: Eukaryota; Metazoa; Chordata; Mammalia; Primates; Hominidae
Description: retained intron
Source: RNAcentral